UCGGGAAUUUUGGGCAAUGGGGGGAAACCCUGACCCAGCAACGCCGCGUGAAGGAUGAAGUAUUUCGGUAUGUAAACUUCGAAAGAAUAGGAAGAAUAAAUGACGGUACUAUUUAUAAGGUCCGGCUAACUACGUGCCAGCAGCCGCGGUAAUACGUAGGGACCAAGCGUUGUUCGGAUUUACUGGGCGUAAAGGGCGCGUAGGCGGCAUGACAAGUCACUUGUGAAAUCUCUGGGCUUAACCCAGAACGGCCAAGUGAUACUGUCGCGCUAGAGUGCAGAAGGGGCAAUCGGAAUUCUUGGUGUAGCGGUGAAAUGCGUAGAUAUCAAGAGGAACACCUGAGGUGAAGACGGGUUGCUGGGCUGACACUGACGCUGAGGCGCGAAAGCC
RNAcentral lists this ribosomal RNA (390 nucleotides) under uncultured bacterium. RNAcentral describes it as "bacterial SSU rRNA". It matches the Rfam family "Bacterial small subunit ribosomal RNA", at positions 355 to 761 of the family's 1533-position model. The record is from RNAcentral.